AACGUAGGAGGCAAGCGUUAUCCGGAGUUACUGGGCGUAAAGCGCAUGUAGGCGGUUUGACAAGUGGCGUGUGAAAGCUCCCGGCUAAACUGGGAGAGGACACGUCAGACUGUCAGGCUAGAGGAUGCUAGAGGGGCGCAGAAUUCGGGGUGUAGCGGUGAAAUGUGUAGAGAUCCCGAGGAAUACCAGUGGUGAAGACGGCGCCCUGGGGCAUUGUCGAAAGACGUACUGACGCUGAGAUGCGAAAGCGUGGGGAGCGAACGGG
Molecule: ribosomal RNA, 265 nt
Filed under: uncultured prokaryote
Description: partial 16S ribosomal RNA
Rfam family: Bacterial small subunit ribosomal RNA
Source: RNAcentral